CGCAGCGAAAUGCGAUAAGUAAUGUGAAUUGCAGAAUUCAGUGAAUCAUCGAAUCUUUGAACGCACAUUGCGCCCUCUGGUAUUCCGGGGGGCAUGCCUGUUCGAGCGUCAUUAUAACCACUCAAGCUCUCGCUUGGUAUUGGGGUUCGCGGUUCCGCGGCCCCUAAAAUCAGUGGCGGUGCCUGUCGGCUCUACGCGUAGUAAUACUCCUCGCGUCUGGGUCCGGUAGGUCUACUUGCCAGCAACCCCCAAUUUUUACAGGUUGACCUCGGAUCAGGUAGGGAUACCCGCUGAACUUAAGCAUAUCA
RNAcentral lists this ribosomal RNA (308 nucleotides) under uncultured Cadophora. RNAcentral describes it as "eukaryotic LSU rRNA". The stretch from base 1 to 111 matches the Rfam family "5.8S ribosomal RNA", at positions 44 to 154 of the family's 154-position model. Lineage: Eukaryota; Fungi; Ascomycota; Leotiomycetes; Helotiales. The record is from RNAcentral.